UCCUAUAACCAGCAACCCAUCCAAAUUUAUCCAUUUUCUCUGAAAAAUAAGCUCCACGAAAAUGGCUAAGGAGGCAAAACCUUGGUUCCGUUAAGAAGAAGGAGAAAUCUCAGUAAAAUCUCGAUUUGCCGAAAUCUCAUUACUUUAAAUCCUUAAUUUUUUUUCUUAAUUCAAUGAAACGUUGUCGCUAAGCCGUCAAGUAUUGACGGCUGAAGAGUGAACGCAAAAACAGUUGAGCCAGAAACUAGGGUUUUACAGUCGGAGGAGAGAGAAAAUCUUGAGAAACAAUGGCGAAAUUCAACGAAGUACAGAAGAAAAGGAGAGCACUAAUUUCACAGAAUAAGAGAGCGGUGCACGGUGUUCCCUUCACUAAGAAGCUUAAACGCCAGACGCAACUUCAAUCUGUCUCCGGGAAGCGCAAGAAAAAGAACCUCAAAAAAUGGCGCCGGGUAUAUAUUUUUAAUUUUUGUUCUUGGUUUCAAUCUUCAUUAUUGUCGAAUUAAUUGAUUUAAUUAAUAAUUUCCCUAAAAAAUUAGGAUCAAAAGGAGUUGAUAGAUAAGGGUCUUGUUACUUUGGAUGAUGUUGACAUGGCUCCCGCCGAUGGUCGAUUGUAUGCGAUGGAACUAGGGCAGCAGAUUCAUCAAAUAGGUGGACCUGCUAGGGGGAUAUUAUGAUGAUGGAGACAAUGUAAAGUACGGGCUGCAAGGGAACAUAAACCUGGUACUGAGAUUGCUGCUGAAACUUCUGCUGCCAUGGCUGCUGCUUCUAUUGUCUUCCGCAAAACUGAUAAAAAAUAUGCUCGCCAACUCCUCAAUAAGGUUAAAGUAAUGUUCCUGUUUCACAUCGCAUGCUCCAUUCUCGUGUCCAUAUAGUCCCUUGUGUGCUUAACAUGAUGUGAUUUCCAUUUGUGUAAAUAUAGAUAUAUAGUUCCCUUGGCUGCUUAGCUGUCUAGUUUCAUGUCUUAAACUCAGUGUGGGAGGUCGGAAAAAGAGGACUGUACUCUUAGAACAAGAUCUUGUUAAUCCACAUGAGAUCAAUUCUAGUAUAACCGAGCACCAAUAAAUCUACGAAGCUUAGAGAGAGUUUGCCAGUUUUUUGCAUGGUGUUAGGUACUCUCAUCGAUGUCUCAGUACUUUUUAUCAUAAUUCUAACUGAACAUUUGUGACAGUACGUUGAACCUCAAAACCAUGUGAGGGUCUCGCAAGCAGAGCUCUUGAUCAUAUUGAUAAGAUUGAUGGCGGGGUUAUUUUCAUCGAACUAUACCUCAAAUAUUGAUAAGAAUAUUUAUAAGCAGUUCUGGUAGCAGCAGUUCUGGGAGCUAGCAGCAGUUCUGACAGCAGCAGAUUUCAGUACAAUUUCAGUUUGAGAUGGCGGACAGUUUCAGUACUUAUUGCAGGGCAAACAGCCAGCCGGUGCCGCUCUUAAUAGCUCCAACAGCAAUGCAGCCAGAAAAGGCUGAGGAGGCGGACAAUUUCAGAACCAGCUUGUUAAAAUGAAUGGCUCUUGUUUCUAUCAUCUAGCUUGUUGUUUGGAUAAUUUGUGUUGUUUGUUUUCAAUAUGUCAAAGGAACUUUGGUUU
Spinacia oleracea (spinach) is the source of this 1578-nucleotide long non-coding RNA. RefSeq lists it as uncharacterized. Lineage: Eukaryota; Viridiplantae; Streptophyta; Magnoliopsida; Caryophyllales; Amaranthaceae. The record is from RefSeq and is a predicted model, not a curated record. The transcript has 5 exons.